UACGGAGGAUCCGAGCGUUAUCCGGAUUUAUUGGGUUUAAAGGGUGCGCAGGCGGGAGAUUAAGUCGGCGGUGAAAUUUUGCAGCUCAACUGUAAAAGUGCCUUCGAAACUGGUUUCCUUGAGUGUAGAUGAAGUAGGCGGAAUUUGUGGUGUAGCGGUGAAAUGCAUAGAUAUCACGAGGAACUCUGAUUGCGCAGGCAGCUUACUAAACUACUACUGACGCUCAGGCACGAAGGCGUGGGGAUCAAACAGGAUUAGAUACCCCGGUAGU
This 271-nucleotide ribosomal RNA is filed under the name uncultured prokaryote. Its description in RNAcentral is "partial 16S ribosomal RNA". It matches the Rfam family "Bacterial small subunit ribosomal RNA", at positions 524 to 794 of the family's 1533-position model. The record is from RNAcentral.